Molecule: ribosomal RNA, 468 nt
Filed under: uncultured bacterium
Lineage: Bacteria
Description: partial 16S ribosomal RNA
Rfam family: Bacterial small subunit ribosomal RNA
Source: RNAcentral
GACGAACGCUGGCGGCGUGCUUAACACAUGCAAGUCGAACGGAAAGGCCCUGCUUUUGUGGGGUGCUCGAGUGGCGAACGGGUGAGUAACACGUGAGUAACCUGCCCUUGACUUUGGGAUAACUUCAGGAAACUGGGGCUAAUACCGGAUAGGAGCUCCUGCUGCAUGGUGGGGGUUGGAAAGUUUCGGCGGUUGGGGAUGGACUCGCGGCUUAUCAGCUUGUUGGUGGGGUAGUGGCUUACCAAGGCUUUGACGGGUAGCCGGCCUGAGAGGGUGACCGGCCACAUGGGGACUGAGAUACGGCCCAGACUCGUACGGGAGGCAGCUGUGGGGAAUAUGGCACAAUGGGCGGAAGCCUGAUGCAGCAACGCCGCGUGCGGGAUGACGGCCUUCGGGUUGUAAACCGCUUUCGCCUGUGACGAAGCGUGAGUGACGGUAAUGGGUAAAGAAGCACCGGCUAACUACGUG